UGAAUUCUGAAUCUAUAAGCAUAGGUAUUUGAACCAGGAUAUUGACUUGCAGAAGUAAAAACACUCGGUUGAAGAACGGAAACAUAUCACAACUAUGUCAAAACAAAACUAACAAACACAGCCAGUGGUUUGAAUAGUCACUCUGAACUGUCCACGCUAAGCUUAUAGAGCAAAGCUCCAGUGAUGGACAGUUUUUAGAAAAUUGUGAACUUAGAGGCAAGCUUGGUGCAAGAAAGUACUUUCAGGCUGAAACUGCCGCAGCUCAGUCCAGUUUUUGCCCCCAGUCUUUGCACAAUCGGGAAAGGCUCAACUUGAUUUUGAUACCCCAGUAGUCUCCUCGUUAUUCUGUACCUGUUAACCAGUCCUCUCAGAGAGCUACAUCUCUCCAACGUCCUCCAGGAUGCUCUUACCUAUAUCUCAGAUACUGGAUGAUUUUUCAAAAUAUUUGCAGGUUCACAGUAUCUCAUGUAGAGUUUCCUGCUACUGCCUAAGGCAGGAAUUUCCCUCAAACAAGAUGAGAGUCUGUCUGAAUGUCACAGAAGAUCUCUCGUACUUGAUGACUGUUAUCCUAGAUCAUCACCUUCUGGAAAUGGAGCAGAUCAAGAUGUUUCUAAAGAGCAGCAAGAGGCACCUAAAAUCACUCUUAGGUACAGUGAUUAUGCUAGUCUUCGCGCUCCUGUCUCUGCAAUCAGAAGGGUGGAUGAGAUUCAUCCGAGGGUGCUUAGAGAGCCGGCUGAUGGCAUAGCAAAGUUGCCUUGACUGCUUUGCUAAAGCCAACGG
This 780-nucleotide long non-coding RNA is filed under the name Struthio camelus australis. RNAcentral describes it as "lncRNA (ENSSCUG00000019105.1)". Lineage: Eukaryota; Metazoa; Chordata; Aves; Struthioniformes; Struthionidae. The record is from RNAcentral.